This 433-nucleotide ribosomal RNA is filed under the name uncultured bacterium. RNAcentral describes it as "partial 16S ribosomal RNA". It matches the Rfam family "Bacterial small subunit ribosomal RNA", at positions 29 to 507 of the family's 1533-position model. The record is from RNAcentral.
AACGAACGCUGGCGGCAUGCCUAACACAUGCAAGUCGAACGAGACCUUCGGGUCUAGUGGCGCACGGGUGCGUAACGCGUGGGAACCUGCCCUUAGGUUCGGAAUAACUCCCCGAAAGGGGUGCUAAUACCGGUUAAUGUCUUCGGACCAAAGAUUUAUCGCCUUUGGAUGGGCCCGCGUUGGAUUAGCUAGUUGGUAGGGUAAAAGCCUACCAAGGCGACGAUCCAUAGCUGGUCUGAGAGGAUGAUCAGCCACACUGGGACUGAGACACGGCCCAGACUCCUACGGGAGGCAGCAGUGGGGAAUAUUGGACAAUGGGCGAAAGCCUGAUCCAGCAAUGCCGCGUGAGUGAUGAAGGCCUUAGGGUUGUAAAGCUCUUUUACCCGGGAUGAUAAUGACAGUACCGGGAGAAUAAGCGCCGGCUAACUCCGUG